RNAcentral lists this ribosomal RNA (406 nucleotides) under uncultured bacterium. Its description in RNAcentral is "partial 16S ribosomal RNA". It matches the Rfam family "Bacterial small subunit ribosomal RNA", at positions 30 to 526 of the family's 1533-position model. The record is from RNAcentral.
AUUGAACGCUGGCGGCAGGCCUAACACAUGCAAGUCGAACGUGUGGCGGACGGGUGAGCAAUGUCUGGGAAACCGCCCGAUGGAGGGGGAUAACUACUGGAAACGGUCGCUAAUACCGUAUCCCAGUGGUUGCGCCCAGAUGGGAUUAGCUAGUAGGGGGGGUAACGGCUCACCUAGGAGACGACCCCUAGCUGGUCUGAGGGGAUGACCAUCCACAGUGGGACUGAGACACGGUCCAGACUCCUACGGGAGGCAGCAGUGGGGAAUAUUGCACAAUGGGCGCAAGCCUGAUGCAGCCAUGCCGCGUGUAUGAAGAAGGCCUUCGGGUUGUAAAGUACUUUCAGCGAGGAGGCGUUACUCGCAGAAGAAGCACCGGCUAACUCCGUUCCAGCAGCCGCGGUAAUUC